CACGAAUUAAGGCGAGCUAAUUUAUUGUAAGUAUUAGCUUAGGAAAUGUUGCAUAAUUACACUAAACAGUAAAUUAGGAGUGAUAGGCUUAUCAAGUCUUAAUAUAACUUGAUGUUUAUGAAAUGUAUUUAGUACAAACACACUUAAGGAGUGCUUAGAUUCCUUAUAUAUAUUAAAAGUAUAUAAUCAAAAUUAAUUAUGUUAUAACUAAUAGAUACCAUAGUUUUAAAACAUUCAUUUUUAUAAUUUGUAUUAUAUAAUAAACUAUUAAGAAUUGCCCAUAAAAUAUAUAUUGUUAUUAUAAGUAUAUAAUGAAAAUAUUUACAAUGAACUCGGCAAUAUUCUCUUCAACUGUUUAUCAAAAACAUAGCUAAUAGAUAAAAUUAUUAGUGUUUUCUGCUCCAUGAGUAUUAAAUAGCCGCAGUACCCUGACUGUGCUAAGGUAGCAUAAUCAAUUGGCUUGUAAUUUAAGUCUUGUAUGAAUGAAGAAAUGUAAGAGAAACUAUAUAUAGGAUAGAUGUUGAAAUUAUUGAGUAAGUGAAAAUACUUACUGAAAAACAUAAGACGAGAAGACCCUAGAAAUUUUAAGAAUCUGUGAUUGGGGCUUUUUGUUGGGGCAACAGUGUAACAUGUAACUUACAGUUUAGUACAAGCAAUAUUUUGUUAGAUUAAAUUACUCUAGGGAUAACAGCGUAAUGUUGAAACGUUUGCGACCUCGAUGUUGGAUUAGGAAAUAUAAGCUUAGAA
RNAcentral lists this ribosomal RNA (747 nucleotides) under Xanthomelon jannellei. RNAcentral's name for it is "partial 16S ribosomal RNA". The stretch from base 344 to 499 matches the Rfam family "Archaeal large subunit ribosomal RNA", at positions 1884 to 2089 of the family's 2987-position model. Lineage: Eukaryota; Metazoa; Mollusca; Gastropoda; Stylommatophora; Camaenidae. The record is from RNAcentral.